RNAcentral lists this ribosomal RNA (492 nucleotides) under uncultured bacterium. RNAcentral describes it as "partial 16S ribosomal RNA". It matches the Rfam family "Bacterial small subunit ribosomal RNA", at positions 29 to 507 of the family's 1533-position model. The record is from RNAcentral.
AGUGAACGCUGGCGGUAGGCCUAACACAUGCCAGUCGAACGGCAGCACAGUAAGAGCUUGCUCUUACGGGUGGCGAGUGGCGGACGGGUGAGGAAUACAUCGGAAUCUACUUUUUCGUGGGGGAUAACGUAGGGAAACUUACGCUAAUACCGCAUACGACCUACGGGUGAAAGCAGGGGAUCUUCGGACCUUGCGCGAUUGAAUGAGCCGAUGUCGGAUUAGCUAGUUGGCGGGGUAAAGGCCCACCAAGGCGACGAUCCGUAGCUGGUCUGAGAGGAUGAUCAGCCACACUGGAACUGAGCCAGGGUCCAGACUCCUACGGGAGGCAGCAGUGGGGAAUAUUGGACAAUGGGCGCAAGCCUGAUCCAGCCAUACCGCGUGAGUGAAGAAGGCCUUCGUGUUGUAAAGCCCUUUUGUUGGGAAAGAAAAGCAGCAGGUUAAUACCCCGCUGUUCUGACGGUACCCAAAGAAUAAGCACCGGCUAACUUCGUG